Cyprinus carpio carpio is the source of this 1588-nucleotide long non-coding RNA. NCBI's taxonomy places the organism in Eukaryota, Metazoa, Chordata, Actinopteri, Cypriniformes, Cyprinidae. The record is from Ensembl.
CAUAUUUUGUAUAUAACGAAAUAAAAUGUAACUUAAAGGGAUAGUUUACCAAAAAUUAAAUCACUGUCAUCGUUUGCUCACCCCUAAACUAGGGCUGGGCGAUAUAGCCUAAAAAAAAAUCCCAGAUUUUUUUCACAAAAAAAUCAGAUUUACACACACUUAAAAUCAAUAUUCAGAUGACAAAGAAAUUGUUCAAAAUAAGUUUUUAAAAUAAGUUUUUAAUAAAGUUAAAAAUAAGUUUUAACUUUAUUUUGUUUUGAUUUUCCCUUCUGGGAUUUGAUCUGGAUUUCCACAUUGGGGUUAAAGUGCAAUCAAAAACAACAAGCCAAAAAGAGCGCAGGCCCUGCCAUUGUAAACAGUGAAAAUGUAACAUAACAUUACAUAAAAUGUAACAUACCAGAUAAAGUUUGUAAAUGUUUGUAAGACUGUCGGUGGUCUUCACUAUUUUUUUCAUGGGAGCUACACUGAUAGGGCAAGGUCAUUCAGAGAGCCACUUUUACCGCAAAGUAUCAAAAGUUACAUCUAGUCAUAAAUAGCAUGUCUUUUUGUUAAUCUGUCAUCCCUGAUAUGCAAUGCAAUACAAAAAUAUAUAUAUACUAGCCCAUCAUGCAUCUAACCAUCCAUCCAAGUGCACACUAAGUGUUAAGAGCUGCUAAAGGGGUCCUUUUAAGCUCUUUUACAAGGUCUUCAUUUUGUUUUGGGGUGUACUAGAACAGGCUCUCAUACUAGGUUGUUCGAAAAACACAUUAUUUUUCACAUAUUUUACAUUAUUACAACUCUCUCCCCAGUCUGGCAUGAACGGCUGGAAUAGUUCCUGUAUCAAAUGAAGGCCCGCCUUCUGAUAUACGAAAUUCUGACUUCGCUACGACAAUCUGGUGCUUCUGAAUCAGCUACUGUGCUGCUAAACCGCACCAGUCUCGCCCAACCAUGGGACCAGCUUAGUGUGUGCCAGUUUAGUUGGUGUGUAUGCCAAACGCAUGGUGGAUGUGUCUGCUGCGGGGACAUUGUAGAGCAGUUCCUGAUGGCUCGCUGGCUCCUGUGUGCUGCCUGGGUUUCAGAUCCCUGGAGGACGUGCAAUCAUCAGUGGUUAGAAAGCUUCCUGUGCAACUAAGCAUCUGCUGAAGCCGGCACAGACCUGCCGGGAAAAGAUGGUGCAGACUAAUUUUAGGGGGAUGUUUUUGACGAGUCGGGUCUGUGUGAGAGGAAGUGAGUAAUUACGAGUCCCACGCAUCAUUAGCACCCCCAGUCUGUCUGACAAGGGCAAGUUUCACACUUAUUUUGGAACGCCUGAAUUUGUGUGUAUGUGUGUGUGCGCACAAAAAAAAUCAAGUCCAUGUGAUGUGGUUAGUCUAUAUAUUUUAUGCAAAAUGCUCUUUCAAAGCUUAAAGCCUCAAAUUUUUCCCAUGAUUUACUCACUCUUUUGUUUGAAACCUGUGUGACCUUCUUUUCUAUACAGCUGAAGUCUACAAUUAUCAUAACUGACUGGCAAGAUUUUCAGUGCAAGACUUAUCAAGAAUGUAUCAAGACUUAGUUCACUCAAAAAUGAAAAUUCUGUCAUCAUUAACUCAUUCCCAUUGUUACAAACUUG